This 139-nucleotide ribosomal RNA is filed under the name uncultured bacterium. Its description in RNAcentral is "partial 16S ribosomal RNA". It matches the Rfam family "Bacterial small subunit ribosomal RNA", at positions 355 to 509 of the family's 1533-position model. The record is from RNAcentral.
UGGGGAAUAUUGCGCAAUGGGGGCAACCCCGACGCAGCAACGCCGCGUGAUUGAAGAAGGUCUUCGGAUUGUAAAAAUCUUUUAUCAAGGACGAAGAAGUGACGGUACUUGAUGAAUAAGCUCCGGCUAACUACGUGCC